Molecule: long non-coding RNA, 686 nt
Filed under: Vulpes vulpes (red fox)
Lineage: Eukaryota; Metazoa; Chordata; Mammalia; Carnivora; Canidae
Description: lncRNA (ENSVVUG00000025079.1)
Source: RNAcentral
AUUAUAGUCUUUAAGGCUUUCUGUCAAGCUCUCCAUUGGAAGGGGAAGUUCUCAAUAUUCUAAUCCUUCUUGCUUAACCAGGAAGCAAUGAAUGAGGUAAGAAGCUGGGUUCAGGAUGGGAAUGAUCCCUUUUAAAAGGCAAAACCACCAAAGGAUGGAUGAGGAAUUCAAAUUCUACCUGUGACUGAUGGUCUAUCUUUUCCAGGAGGAGGAAAGAGACAAGAGGUUUGCUGUGUGCAAGACUCAGAACUGAGCUUGGGGGCUGACCCGGAGCAGACGUGUAGAAGAGGAAGGUCCUUGUAGAACUGUGGUGAUCACAUCAUGUCCUGGCUAUCAUGCAAUCUAUGUGCUAAUUCGUUUAGCCUGGUUUAUCGCGAAGGCUGAGACGUCAAACCUCGGGGGGUGGAGGCAGCCUGUCCCCACUGCCACGUGGUGCACGAGGAGGAAACAAGGCUCCCCGGCCAAGGUCACCCGUCAGUCAUGUGGCGCCGCUGGAGCUGCUCCUGGGGGCUGCAGGGGGCCUCCCCUGACACCUCCCUGCAGGCUCCCUCCAGCUCACUGCCGGGCUCACACCGGGCCCUGCUCCCUGACACCCAUCUUUCCUCCUGCCCAGCUGCUCGGGGAGGGCCUCUCCCCCACCCGCCUUUUUAUUAAAGGAUCUUUGCCAUUGAAAAGCUAUAUUCUCU